Molecule: ribosomal RNA, 468 nt
Filed under: uncultured bacterium
Lineage: Bacteria
Description: partial 16S ribosomal RNA
Rfam family: Bacterial small subunit ribosomal RNA
Source: RNAcentral
GACGAACGCUGGCGGCGUGCUUAACACAUGCAAGUCGAACGGAAAGGCCCUGCUUUUGUGGGGUGCUCGAGUGGCGAACGGGUGAGUAACACGGGAGUAACCUGCCCUGGACUUUGGGAUAACUUCAGGAAACUGGGGCUAAUACCGGAGAGGAGCUCCUGCUGCAUGGUGGGGGUUGGAAAGUUUCGGCGGUGGGGGAUGGACUCGCGGCUUAUCAGCUUGUUGGUGGGGUAGUGGCUUACCAAGGCUUUGACGGGUAGCCGGCCUGGGAGGGUGACCGGCGACAAUGGGACUGAGAUACGGAGCAGAGUGGUACGGGAGGCAGUAGGGGGGAGUAUUACACAGUGGGCGGGAGCGUGUGGCGGCGACGUUGCGUUCGGGAUGACGGCCUUCGGGGUGUAAACCGCUGUCGCCUGUGACGAAGCGUGAGUGACGGUACUGGGUAAAGAAGCACCGGCUAACUACGUG